This 846-nucleotide long non-coding RNA is filed under the name Volvox carteri. Its description in RNAcentral is "long non-coding RNA (VCAR_LNC002758)". The record is from RNAcentral. Lineage: Eukaryota; Viridiplantae; Chlorophyta; Chlorophyceae; Chlamydomonadales; Volvocaceae.
CUUUGUCUUGCGCUGGGCUGCGCCCGGGAGCUGGCAACCCUCAGGAGGAGGAGGUUGCCAUGCGGACAAGUUUUUUGCCUCGGUUGUACGUGGACCGGUGGGGUAGUGGUGGCCGCCCUUGGGAGGUGUACGUUGCUCAUGGUAGUUGAACAGCUGGCCUUCAAGGACCAGUGUGUGAGUACUCGCUUGUGUUUGCCUUGUUUGUGCAGCCGUGUCUCGGCUUAUGUGGUUUGGCAUCUCAGGCCUGUGGUCCUCCGUGUAUCUCUUGCCUCGCUGGCUGCGUGGGUGACCUGGACUAGGAGAGCCUUCUGAGGGACCGCGCCUGAUGUGGGUAGGUCUUCCCUUGCCUCGGUUUUUUGAGUGUGUAGUGGAGCCCCCUGCGUAGAGCCCCUGCCCCCGGUGGUGUUUUCUGUUUGUUCUUGUUUUGGCGGUCAAGAGGGACGAGAGUGUGCGAAUAGGCUGGCCAGGCGAAGUGGGGCCAUGUUGGCGAUGCAAGACAGCGGCAAGUGUGAAGGCCGGAAUUAGGAUUAGGAUUAGAAUUAAAAUGUGUAGGUCGACCAAAAUUUUUUUUUGUGAGUUUUAGGCCAUCACAGGCUUUUACCUUUGUCGCCUCUGCGUAAAUACUGACAGACGGUGUGCCGUUGGCUUUCCGAGCGAACGUUGCCGUGUCUAGCUACCGCAGGACCGCUGACCGUUGCAGCUGGAGUUAUCCUUCAUCCAUCUUUCAUGUAAUCUUCUUCUCCAACUACGAUCCCUCAACCAUAUCCUCGUUAGUGCACUGCCUACGUUGCCGCUUUCGUUGGGGUUCAUUGACGCCUGCUGAGGGGCUUUGCGCUUGGCCGUGCG